UUCCGCCUCCCCUUUUGAAGAUGAACUUGAAGACACUAAGUCAGCUACAGGACCUUUCUGGCCCCUGAAAUAUCACCAUCAGAAAAGUCCAGGAUGGGACUCCGCCAGCGCACAGACAGAAGCAGCUGAAUCAGUGGGUGGUGGCGCCCAGGGAAAGGACACAGGAAACUUUGAGGAGUCCUGCUGAUGGUUUCUUCCCAUAUUUGAAUGAAACACAAAACAAAAAGCUUCAAGCGCCAAGGAGUAGGCAGGUAUGUUUAUGCUGAUGCUAUCUAUAGCUGGUAUUUAUUUGGUUGUUAGGGAAUGGGUUGCGUCCUGCUGCGAACUUUGAAAUUAUGGAACUUUAGAAUGAAUGUUA
RNAcentral lists this long non-coding RNA (358 nucleotides) under Bos indicus x Bos taurus (hybrid cattle). Its description in RNAcentral is "lncRNA (ENSBIXG00000006944.1)". Lineage: Eukaryota; Metazoa; Chordata; Mammalia; Artiodactyla; Bovidae. The record is from RNAcentral.